UACAGAGGGUGCGAGCGUUAAUCGGAUUUACUGGGCGUAAAGCGUGCGUAGGUGGUCUUUUUAAGUCGGAUGUGAAAUCCCUGAGCUUAACUUAGGAAUUGCAUUCGAUACUGGGAAGCUAGAGUAUGGGAGAGGAUGGUAGAAUUCCAGGUGUAGCGGUGAAAUGCGUAGAGAUCUGGAGGAAUACCGAUGGCGAAGGCAGCCAUCUGGCCUAAUACUGACGCUGAGGUACGAAAGCAUGGGGAGCAAACAGG
This 254-nucleotide ribosomal RNA is filed under the name uncultured Acinetobacter sp. RNAcentral describes it as "partial 16S ribosomal RNA". It matches the Rfam family "Bacterial small subunit ribosomal RNA", at positions 524 to 776 of the family's 1533-position model. Lineage: Bacteria; Pseudomonadati; Pseudomonadota; Gammaproteobacteria; Moraxellales; Moraxellaceae. The record is from RNAcentral.